GACGAACGCUGGCGGCGUGCUUAACACGUGCAAGUCGAACGAUGAAGCCUAGCUUGCUAGGUGGAUUAGUGGCGAACGGGUGAGUAAUACGUGAGUAACCUACCUUUAACUCUGGGAUAAGCCUGGGAAACUGGGUCUAAUACCGGAUACGACCAAUCUCCGCAUGGGGUGUUGGUGGGAAGCGUUAUGUAGUGGUUAUAGAUGGGCUCACGGCCUAUCAGCUUGUUGGUGAGGUAACGGCUCACCAAGGCGACGACGGGUAGCCGGCCUGAGAGGGUGACCGGCCACCAUGGUACUGAGACACGGCCCAGACUCCUACGGGAGGCAGCAGUGGGGAAUAUUGCACAAUGGGCGCAAGCCUGAUGCAGAGACGCCGCGUGAGGGAUGACGGCCUUCUGGUUGUAAACCUCUGUUAGCAGGGAAGAAGAGAAAUUGACGGUACCUGCAGAGAAAGCGCCGGCUAACUACGUG
RNAcentral lists this ribosomal RNA (471 nucleotides) under uncultured bacterium. Its description in RNAcentral is "partial 16S ribosomal RNA". It matches the Rfam family "Bacterial small subunit ribosomal RNA", at positions 28 to 507 of the family's 1533-position model. The record is from RNAcentral.